RNAcentral lists this long non-coding RNA (1567 nucleotides) under Felis catus (domestic cat). RNAcentral's name for it is "lncRNA (ENSFCAG00000044883.2)". Lineage: Eukaryota; Metazoa; Chordata; Mammalia; Carnivora; Felidae. The record is from RNAcentral.
AUAGCCUUCAGUUUGCUUCUCUUGUUAAUCUGUCUUCAGCUGCAAGGGUCCCAGCUGGGAAUUUGGAAGGAUAGCCGAAAAUAAUUUUUUCCUCCCCUACAUUGCCAGUUGUGGGAUAGAACUGGAUUUUGAUCCCAAGACUGAAUGAUGUAGGGACUUUCUCCCCACAUAGCUCACCUAUGCUCACCCUUUCCUUUGCUGGAUUCUGCCCUUUUCAGUGGACAUAUGAUAAACACUGUUUUGUUUUGUUUUUUUUUUUUUUUUAUGUUUUUUUUUUUUUUUAAAUUUUUGAGAGAGAGAGGCAGAGUGGGAGCAGGGGAGGGGCAGAGAGAGAGGGAGACACAGAAUCUGAAACAGGCUUCAGGCUCUGAGCUGUCAGCACAGAGCCUGAUGUGGGGCUCGAACCUUCGAACCGUGAGAUCACGACCUGAGCCAAAGUUGGACGCUUAACCAACUGAGCCACCCAGGCUCCCCAAUAAAACACUGCUUUGAUUCUUAUCCAUUAUUUUUUGUCCUCCUAGUUUACUCAGGAACCCCCCAAAGGGAAAAUGGAGUGAUUGGCCAGGCAGGAUUAUGGUAUUCUAAGGCCUGUGACCCUAAUACCAUCAAUUCUGGUUUUUAAAUUCCAUCCUCUUUCCAUUGUAUCAUCAAGGGGUAAUUUAGAGCAAGAACUGGGCAAACAGGAGGAGUUGAGAAAUGUAGCAAUGGCCAAAUGCCAUUCAGGGGAUAUUUUUAGUUACCUAAAUAAACUGUAUUUCCACAAUGUCUGCAGAACUUAUGGUUUGUGUGCAGUAAAUAAAAUGAUGGAAAUGCCAUGAAGGAGCCCAGCCAGAUGACUUCAUUUGUGUGCAUUCUGUUCCGCAGGAGUCCCUUAAACAGCAGACGGGCUCCAUGUGACUCAGUGAAGGCACACAAGCUGCUGUCCAACACCAUUGCUUCUCUCUUGUGUUUAUUGUAUGCCAGUCUCACCACACUGUGCUCGGAGCAGUUUCCCAGGGAGUGUUCUGUGGGGUGCUCAUCAGAAGAAGAAACAGAGUUUUGUGAUCAAGAUGGAAAAGGAAGAAUUUUCUGGGAGGUGCAAAGGCUGCCCUGAAGACUACCUAUACCUUGGUUGGAUCAUCAGAGAAUAGGAGAAGGUAGAGACAUCCGCGUAGCAGUUUGAAGAGGGGAAUAUCUUGAUCCUGGGUGCUGUGGAUCCUUGGGAUCAGGAAGAGCAACCAAGAUUUCAAGUCUCACAACUAGAAGAGAGUGGAGCUCCAAGGACUGUCACACUUUCGAUGUGGUGUAGGACACAGAGGAUGCCCUGUGGAUGGUCAUGAGGAUCAUGGUUAGCAGCCUGCCCAGAUCGUUUGUGCUCAACCAGUAAUGGCAGACCAGUUUUCGCCAGAGGCCUCAAGGCACAGGAAGGUGAGAUAGCUCAGUGCUGCUUCAGCGGUGGGAGUCUCAGAAGGGGCACCAAGAGUCCGACGCUUUACUUUCUGCCAAUGUCAAUUCAGGUCAGUGGAUGCUCAAGUCAGAACGAGAGUUCUUUUGUUUUAGACUAAACCAUGCCAUUGUAGCUGUUUUC